GAUAAACGCUGGCGGCGUGCCUAAUACAUGCAAGUCGAGCGAACAGACGAGGAGCUUGCUCCUCUGAUGUUAGCGGCGGACGGGUGAGUAACACGUGGAUAACCUACCUAUAAGACUGGGAUAACUUCGGGAAACCGGAGCUAAUACCGGAUAACAUGUUGAACCGCAUGGUUCAACAGUGAAAGACGGUCUUGCUGUCACUUAUAGAUGGAUCCGCGCCGCAUUAGCUAGUUGGUAAGGUAACGGCUUACCAAGGCAACGAUGCGUAGCCGACCUGAGAGGGUGAUCGGCCACACUGGAACUGAGACACGGUCCAGACUCCUACGGGAGGCAGCAGUAGGGAAUCUUCCGCAUUGGGCGAAAGCCUGACGGAGCAACGCCGCGUGAGUGAAGAAGGUCUUCGGAUCGUAAAACUCUGUUAUUAGGGAAGAACAAAUGUGUAAGUAACUAUGCACGUCUUGACGGUACCUAAUCAGAAAGCCACGGCUAACUACGUG
Molecule: ribosomal RNA, 497 nt
Filed under: uncultured bacterium
Lineage: Bacteria
Description: partial 16S ribosomal RNA
Rfam family: Bacterial small subunit ribosomal RNA
Source: RNAcentral